RNAcentral lists this ribosomal RNA (492 nucleotides) under uncultured bacterium. RNAcentral describes it as "partial 16S ribosomal RNA". It matches the Rfam family "Bacterial small subunit ribosomal RNA", at positions 29 to 507 of the family's 1533-position model. The record is from RNAcentral.
AGUGAACGCUGGCGGUAGGCCUAACACAUGCAAGUCUAACGGCAGCACAGUAAGAGCUUGCUCUUACGGGUGGCGAGUGGCGGACGGGUGAGGAAUACAUCGGAAUCUACUUUUUCGUGGGGGAUAACGUAGGGAAACUUACGCUAAUACCGCAUACGACCUACGGGUGAAAGCAGGGGAUCUUCGGACCUUGCGCGAUUGAAUGAGCCGAUGUCGGAUUAGCUAGUUGGCGGGGUAAAGGCCCACCAAGGCGACGAUCCGUAGCUGGUCUGAGAGGAUGGUCAGCCACACUGGAACUGAGACACGGUCCAGACUCCUACGGGAGGCAGCAGUGGGGAAUAUUGGACAAUGGGCGCAAGCCUGAUCCAGCCAUACCGCGUGGGUGAAGAAGGCCUUCGGGUUGUAAAGCCCUUUUGUUGGGAAAGAAAAGCAGCAGGUUAAUACCCCGCUGUUCUGACGGUACCCAAAGAAUAAGCACCGGCUAACUUCGUG